This 492-nucleotide ribosomal RNA is filed under the name uncultured bacterium. Its description in RNAcentral is "partial 16S ribosomal RNA". It matches the Rfam family "Bacterial small subunit ribosomal RNA", at positions 29 to 507 of the family's 1533-position model. The record is from RNAcentral.
AGUGAACGCUGGCGGUAGGCCUAACACAUGCAAGUCGAACGGCAGCACAGUAAGAGCUUGCUCUUACGGGUGGCGAGUGGCGGACGGGUGAGGAAUACAUCGGAAUCUACUUUUUCGUGGGGGAUAACGUAGGGAAACUUACGCUAAUACCGCAUACGACCUACGGGUGAAAGCAGGGGAUCUUCGGACCUUGCGCGAUUGACUGAGCCGAUGUCGGAUUAGCUAGUUGGCGGGGUAAGGGCCCACCAAGGCGACGAUCCGUAGCUGGUCUGAGAGGAUGAUCAGCCACACUGGAACUGAGACACGGUCCAGACUCCUACGGGAGGCAGCAGUGGGGAAUAUUGGACAAUGGGCGCAAGCCUGAUCCAGCCAUACCGCGUGGGUGAAGAAGGCCUUCGGGUCGUAAAGCCCUUUUGUUGGGAAAGAAAAGCAGCAGGUUAAUACCCCGCUGUUCUGACGGUACCCAAAGAAUAAGCACCGGCUAACUUCGUG